Molecule: ribosomal RNA, 433 nt
Filed under: uncultured bacterium
Lineage: Bacteria
Description: partial 16S ribosomal RNA
Rfam family: Bacterial small subunit ribosomal RNA
Source: RNAcentral
AACGAACGCUGGCGGCAUGCCUAACACAUGCAAGUCGAACGAGACCUUCGGGUCUAGUGGCGCACGGGUGCGUAACGCGUGGGAACCUGCCCUUAGGUUCGGAAUAACUCCCCGAAAGGGGUGCUAAUACCGGAUAAUGUCUUCGGACCAAAGAUUUAUCGCCUUUGGAUGGGCCCGCGUUGGAUUAGCUAGUUGGUAGGGUAAAAGCCUACCAAGGCGACGAUCCAUAGCUGGUCUGAGAGGAUGAUCAGCCACACUGGGACUGAGACACGGCCCAGACUCCUACGGGAGGUAGCAGUGGGGAAUAUUGGACAAUGGGCGAAAGCCCGAUCCAGCAAUGCCGCGUGAGUGAUGAAGGCCUUAGGGUUGUAAAGCUCUUUUACCCGGGAUGAUAAUGACAGUACCGGGAGAAUAAGCUCCGGCUAACUCCGUG